This 341-nucleotide RNase P RNA is filed under the name Acidimicrobiaceae bacterium. RNAcentral's name for it is "RNase P RNA component class A". It matches the Rfam family "Bacterial RNase P class A". From Rfam's summary of the family: Ribonuclease P (RNase P) is a ubiquitous endoribonuclease, found in archaea, bacteria and eukarya as well as chloroplasts and mitochondria. Its best characterised activity is the generation of mature 5'-ends of tRNAs by cleaving the 5'-leader elements of precursor-tRNAs. Lineage: Bacteria; Bacillati; Actinomycetota; Acidimicrobiia; Acidimicrobiales; Acidimicrobiaceae. The record is from RNAcentral.
GGAGUUGAACGGGUGGCCGCGGCUCAGCAACGACUGGGUCGAGGAAAGUCGGGACUUCACAGGGCAGGAUGCUGGUGAGAGCCAGGUUGGGGCGACCUAACGGAUAGUGCAACAGAGAACAGACCGCCGAUGGGUNGGGUAACCGACCANAGGCAAGGCUGAAACGGUGCGGUAAGAGCGCACCAGCACACAGAGCGAUCUGUGUGGCUUGGCAAACCCCUUCCGGAGCAAGGCCAAGCAGGGAGUGAGUGGCCCGCUCAACACUCCCGGGUAGGCCGCGUAGAUGGAUGGUCACCGGCGCUUCGGCGUCACAGGAUCCCGCUUACAGGUCAACUCCCCGU